This 22-nucleotide non-coding RNA is filed under the name Dasypus novemcinctus (nine-banded armadillo). Its record names the gene dno-miR-151-5p. Lineage: Eukaryota; Metazoa; Chordata; Mammalia; Cingulata; Dasypodidae. The record is from miRBase by way of RNAcentral. RNAcentral also lists the same sequence under 14 other names.
UCGAGGAGCUCACAGUCUAGUA